Molecule: long non-coding RNA, 1237 nt
Organism: Macadamia integrifolia
Lineage: Eukaryota; Viridiplantae; Streptophyta; Magnoliopsida; Proteales; Proteaceae
Exons: 2
Source: RefSeq, a predicted model, not a curated record
AUGGAAUAUUUUCACAUGAAAAUUUGUUUGACCUGAUAUCAGUUACAUUAAAUCUCGCUUGAAAAAUUAAGUGAGUCAAGUUCUAAAGUUGGAAUUUUUGUAAGAAUUCGAAAUUCUCUUGCGCUAGAUUUGGAUUCAAAUUGGGGGCGGGAGUUGUGGGAGAUUGGCUCUGAUUCCUUGGUUUCUAGUAGAUGGAGAUUUUUUGAAUGGUUCCAGAUCUAGAUCUUCUUUGCUUUGCAUAAGUUACUUUGGUGUCUAUAUUUCUAAAGUGGGCGCAUUAGAGGCAUUAUCGAUCUUCUGUACUCCAAUCUGCUAGCGACUCCAGCCAGCAGCCUGUCAUCGCGACUCCAUCAAACUCCCUUGGUUUCUCCCAUUUGUUCUCUCUCUCAAGACUCGACUCCCACAGGCUCUCCUUCGCUGGAUUGAGGAAGCAGAACUAGGUUCCACUGCCAACAUUUGGCCAAGAAAUCCAACCCUUCAUUAUUCGGUGUCUCGUUAUUGCACACAAUCUUGAAACUGCAACCAUUAGAUGCAAAAGCAGGUCUCCGCAUGGAGGUCUCCCAGUAGCAUUUCAAUGAUGGUGCAUCCCAAGGACCAAAUAUCUGAGGAAAAAUCCAAUCCUUCAUUUCUCAAGGUGGCCCAUCUCAUAAAACUUAGUUGAGGACAGGGAGAAUCUGAUAAUUAUAGCAAUUCAAAUAGUAGGUGAGAUGAUAUUUACUGGAGAGAUUUUCAAGAUUGAACAAUUACAUGGUCAAUUUGCUUCUCUGCCAUGUAUUGCCAAGAAAGGCUGAGAAGAUCUAGUUAAGGGAUUAUUGUUCUUGAAACCCUUAGAAUGAGGUCCCCUGAUAGGGAAACACAAAGCAAUUGAUGUUGUUUGAAGAAGCUUUACUUGGGAACCGUAAGGGGUGUGGGAGGGCCGCAGUUUGGUUCCAUUUCCAUGUUCGGUCAGAUUAAGUUAUCUAUUACUUGGUCUGCUGCAAUAAGUUUGUUGUAACAGUGAAAUAAUAAUACUCAAGCAAGGGAACACUUGGCUUUGUAUGGGAAAUAUGUGGGUGAUUACAAGGUUGGGGAGGUUGUUUAACUUAGAGUUGGGGAUCAUCUUUUGUGCUUUUUUUCUCUUCUGUAUUUAUAGUGUGUGAAUGUAAUGUAUCAUUGAAUACACUUUCAUAACUUGUGGCACUACCUCAGUGAACAUUUUUAAAAUGGAUACAGCAUUGGUCCAAUGGUAAGUUACGAA